This 459-nucleotide ribosomal RNA is filed under the name uncultured bacterium. RNAcentral's name for it is "partial 16S ribosomal RNA". It matches the Rfam family "Bacterial small subunit ribosomal RNA", at positions 338 to 795 of the family's 1533-position model. The record is from RNAcentral.
CCUACGGGAGGCAGCAGUGAGGAAUAUUGGUCAAUGGGCGGAAGCCUGAACCAGCCAAGUAGCGUGCGGGAUGAAGGCCCUACGGGUCGUAAACCGCUUUUGCACGGGGAUAACACCCUCCACUUGUGGAGGUCUGCAGGUACCGUGCGAAUAAGGGCCGGCUAAUUCCGUGCCAGCAGCCGCGGUAAUACGGAAGGCCCGAGCGUUAUCCGGAUUCAUUGGGCUUAAAGGGAGCGUAGGCGGGCGUUCAAGUCAGCUGUAAAAUCGCGCGGCUCAACCGCGCCCCGCAGUUGAAACUGGACGCAUUGAGUUCACAACAGGCAGGCGGAAGUCGUGGGGUAGCGGUGAAAUGCAGAGAUAUCACGAGGAACCCCGAUUGCGAAGGCAGCCUGCCGGGGUGCGACUGACGCUGAGUCUCGAAGGUGCGGGUAUCAAACAGGAUUAGAUACCCGAGUAGUC